This 494-nucleotide ribosomal RNA is filed under the name uncultured bacterium. RNAcentral describes it as "bacterial SSU rRNA". It matches the Rfam family "Bacterial small subunit ribosomal RNA", at positions 24 to 518 of the family's 1533-position model. The record is from RNAcentral.
UCAGGAUGAACGCUGGCGGCGUGCCUAACACAUGCAAGUCGAACGGAGAUUAACGCUGAUGAAGCUUCGGCAGAUUCUGUUAAAUCUAGUGGCGGACGGGUGAGUAACGCGUGGGCAACCUGCCUCAUACUGGGGGAUAACAGCUGGAAACGACUGUUAAUACCGCAUAAGCGCACGGUAUCGCAUGAUACAGUGUGAAAAACUCCGGUGGUAUGAGAUGGGCCCGCGUCAGAUUAGCCAGUUGGCAGGGUAACGGCCUACCAAAGCGACGAUCUGUAGCCGGCCUGAGAGGGCGGACGGCCACAUUGGGACUGAGACACGGCCCAAACUCCUACGGGAGGCAGCAGUGGGGGAUAUUGCACAAUGGAGGAAACUCUGAUGCAAGCGACGCCGCGUGAGUGAAGAAGUAUUUCGGUAUGUAAAGCUCUAUCAGCAGGGAAGAUCAUGACGGUACCCGACUAAGAAGCCCCGGCUAAUUACGUGCCAGCCGCCGC